RNAcentral lists this ribosomal RNA (255 nucleotides) under uncultured bacterium. Its description in RNAcentral is "partial 16S ribosomal RNA". It matches the Rfam family "Bacterial small subunit ribosomal RNA", at positions 524 to 776 of the family's 1533-position model. The record is from RNAcentral.
UACGGGGGGAGCAAGCGUUUGUUCGGAUUUACUGGGCGUAAAGGGCGCGUAGGCGGUCGUGACAAGUCACUUGUGAAAUCUCCGGGCUUAACUCGGAACGGUCAAGUGAUACUGUCGGACUAGAGUACAGAAGGGGCAACUGGAAUUCUCGGUGUAGCGGUGAAAUGCGUAGAUAUCGAGAGGAACACCUGCGGCGAAGGCGGGUUGCUGGGCUGAUACUGACGCUGAGGAGCGAAAGCAUGGGGAGCAAACAGG